UUAAUUUUGAAACCCUCUUUCUCAGUGCCUUGGACUGAAGGGAGCUCCUUCUUUCUGUUGCCUCCAUUUGUAACCAUGUUUCAAAACUGCUUUAUCCAUGUCAAAGCCUAAUUGUACAUGCUUGGGUCAAAAAGGUGAAGCUUCUGUACACUACUACUGUAGCUGAUGUUACAAGUCCUUUGUAAGUAUUAAUUCUUUUCCCACAAUUUACCCUAGAUACAGUAAACAUCUGAAAUAGUUGCAUAUGAAUUUAAUAGCUGGGUGACCCACUUGGUACUUUUUUACUUGCCAGGGAAAUUAUGAGUUCCAAGACAUUGACAUUAUGACAUAGAUCCUUAUGUUUAAUACCACACAUGCAGUUUCUUAUGUGAUAUCCGACGGACACAGUAAUUUAUUUUGUUAAAAGUAUAAAUGAUGAGUACUUUAAACAUAACAUAUUUUUUCAGAAAGUGGAUUAACAAUGUGGCUACUGUCCUUUCAGGUUAAGUACAAGUUUCUCCUCUCUCUUUAUCCCUAUCCAGACUUGUUUUUUAAUUUGUAUUACUCAUUGGGCUAGUUGCAUGUACAUCAAUUAGUAACUAAGUUAUUCUUUUCCAUGCCUGAUUGAGUGAUACCACAGAUAAUUGAUUAACUCCUUCGAAUCAUACUUUUGUGGAUUUGAACAUAAGCAUCAUUUUUUCUACAAGUCAAUUUCACUGAGAUGAGUAUAAGGAUAGUCCAACUCAUUUAGAUAUAUAUCAACACAAAGUCAGACCCACCAACAUAAUUUAUGAUAGAGCAUUAUAACAUUGUUUGAACACAAAGUCAUACCCAAACUAAAUAACAACGCGUAAUAAAUUCAAGGAAAAAUCAAGCGGGCUAAUGAAGAAGAAAGAGUAGCAUCACCCAUUUUGAUAAAGAAUCACAACUAGGAACUUAUAUACUUCAGCAUGUGUUCUAUUAUACUACUAUACAUUAGAGAAUAAUGUGUGUAUUUUUAUUAAAAGCUUAUUUUUACUGCUUCUUUAACCAAUAUCUCUAAGAGACAACAGAUAAUACCAUUACAAAGUAAGCAAAAUAACCAUAUCAAGUAUUAAUUAAUACCAUAGCAGUAGCAGCUGUCAUGCUUCUUCUAAUUCAUGAUAAGCAGCAUAUUUUAACAUGUGUAGCAUAUGAUCAUGUCGUUGCAUGUUUAAUUGAGUAUAGAGAUAUGGAAGCAAAUUAGCAUGGAGUCAGGCCAAAAGCAGUGACAGCAGUAUCUCAUUCCGAUGCACCAAACAAGUACUCCACUUCUUUCAAUUUCCGAGGUAUGUUACUAAACAAAUAGGAACAAGGAUAAUCUCCAUUAAUGGAGAGACAAAUAAUUGUUUUUAGUGACAAAAAUAUGAUUUCAUGAUAAACAAAAGAAUAAAAGUAUUAUUACAUAUUGCUUUUUAUGUGUUAUUAUGUGAUACUUAUCUCUUUAUUAAUGGAUCCUUACUCAACAAAUAGAGAUAUCCAUCUAUGUAGAGUAAACUACUGCAUGCUAAUAUAUUAGUUAUACCAAUUAUUUUUUGUUAUGUUCAUCAAGACUAGUUUCUGGUCUGCUCCUGGAUCGAGAAAUUGCACCUGGCUGCACAUAUUUUCAUUAACGUUUUAUUGAUAUUGGUUGUUAACAGUAAUCUGACACUGAUUGUAACUUUUAACCUAGGAGUGUAAUCCGCAUAAAAUAUUAAUUUUCGUUCGAAGUGUGGCCUAGAAAUGAGUGGUAAACAGUUGUGACAGUGGGUCCAGAAUCCAGAUAUAUAUGUAUAAAGCUGGAACUUACUGUUUUCUCAAAAUGGACUGUGAAGCAUUUUGAAUGCGUGUAAGUUGAGUCUCCCCUUAGCCCCAUCUUACCAAUUACUUCAAAAAUAUAAAUAAUUGUAAAUAAUGAUUUUAUAGAAACAACUGUUCGAGAUAUAAUCAUUUAAAAUUAGAAUUAUUAAAACUUCACUGUUUAAAGAAUUUAUGGAGUACUUAUGUUAAAUUUUAAUUAGAACUACUUUUACUUUUAAAUAUACACAACUACACAAGUAGUUUUUAUAAACAAUUUUUUUUUACCUUUUUUUACUAGUUUAGACAAGCCUGGUUUAAUAACCUCUUAGUUUUUGUCCGGUACUCUUUUUUGGUUUGAAUCACGGAUAUUCUUCCAAGAAAAAAUCCUGUUCAAAUCAGUACUACCCUGUGGGCUGUGGACAACAGAAAAGCUCUCUGAAGCAAAUAUUAUAGUUAUUUUGGUUGAUGCUAUAUGAAUCAGUUAUUUAAUAAGAUUCAGUUUCCCUUAGAAAAUACACUCAUCUUCAUAAAUUCAGUACAUUUAUGUUCCACUCUAAAGAUAGGAAAAUCCUCCCUAUAAAACAUGUCACACUCUCAACCAAUCGAUAGCCACACCGCGGUGCGUUUGUAAUUGUCUUUGUUUAAACUCCUGAAGAUUCUACUUAUGCUUGUUUCAAUGCUUGCUCUAUUGCUCGUGUUGCUAGUAUUGCUACAUUGCCAAAAUUAAAUAUUAGCUAUCUUUUCUGUUUUUGCUUCAAAGUUUUUUGUAAGAGACAUGAUUUAGAAUAAGGGUGAGCAUGUGUAAGGUUGGGACGGGUUAAAGCUUGUUCUUAUCCGGUCCUAAAUAUUGGUCAUGUCACUUUUUUGAAUCCGGACUUAGCCCUAGACCCGAACCUAACCCGACCCUAAAUAGCGACUGAGUCAGCCUUUAAACCCGACCCUAAAUAGUGACUGAGUCAGCCUUUAAACCCGACCUAGACCCGAUUAAAUAUAAUGCAUACUCAUUUUAGAUAAAGAAUUCUCAGUAUUAUUUAUUAUUAUGAAUAUGUAGUUUGAUAUAUAAAAUGAUAUAUGUAUUAUUAAUCAUGUAUAUAUUAUGAAAAAAUUAAAGAAUAAAUGAUACUUUCGACCAAAAUGGUAUCAUUACUCUAUACAUAUUUGAGUAGAAACACAUACAAACAUGAUGAGCGAGUGACCCUAGGGCGGGGCGGGUUGCGUCAUGCUUGGUCCCUACCUGACCCUAAAUAUUGACUGGGUCUAUUUUUGGAACCCGAACUCGGCCCUAGACCCGAUCAGACCCGACUCUAUUCGGACCCGAUCAUGAUCGGGUCGUGCCGGUUGAGCGGAUAGGGUCGAGUCUUGCUCACCCCUAAUUUAGGAUAUAGUAACGUUUAUAAUAGAUACUCGUUUUUGGUAGUUGAUCCAUUAUGAAAAUGAAUGAUUUUGGCAACUGGCAAGGCGAUUGUGUGAAGUUAUCAGCGCCAAAGUGAUGUAAACCAAGGGGGGCAACAUGUGAUUUUUGGAGGCCAUGUUCUUGCAAAGAAUUUAUAGCAUAGUUUUGUUUAUUUUAUUUGCGUUGAUUCAAAUAAAUGAGAUUCCAUUCGCAUAUAGUCUUAGGUUUAUUUUCAUUCAAGUAUUUUUAGUAUUUAAUUCAUGUAAUAUGAGUUGGGAAUUAUUUGUAACAUUGGUCCAUAUUCAUGACCAAGUAGUUUACUUAGGCUCAAGGGUAAGCCUUUCACAUGGCUAGGGCAAAUGGAAGUCAAGACAUGAUCAUUUCAAGGAAGGAGACACGUAAGGAACUCUAUCUAUAAGGACAAACAAAGACAUAAGACAAUUCAGUUAACACUUUAUCUCUAAGGCAAACAAAGAGAUAAGGCAUGGAGGGAAAAUGAAUUUAAAAGAAGAUAUGUUUGUUUUAGCAAUUUGAAUUUGAAAGAAGAUAUAUUUGAAUUGGAAUUUGAAAGAAGAUAGAUUUGAAUUUGAAUUUGAGAAAAAAUAUAUUUGAAUUUGAAUUUGAGAAAAGAUAGAUUUGUUGCUGCCAACAAAUAUAAUAUUUUCAAAUCAGCCACAACAACCUAAUCUAUACAUUAUCUUCUCAAGAUCUCCACAUAAUUUCAGCCAAACUCAAAUGCAAGGAACCAAGCCAACAACACCAACACCAAAGUCGAAUCAAGCUUCCUUAAAUGAAGGAAAUCAUCUCAUCUCCAUCUUCUUCUAAACCGUGGAGACUAUUCAAUCCAAAUUACAUUAUUUAAGAUCUUAUCUACUUGAUUUAAUUAUGAGUUACAUUAUUAUUUCAUAUUUAUUUUUAGCCUAAGUUUUAAUUAGGAUUUCAAUUAUUCAAGUUAAUUAGGACUUAGUCUAUUUUCUUUUCAGCCAAG
Molecule: long non-coding RNA, 4157 nt
Filed under: Lupinus angustifolius (narrow-leaved blue lupine)
Lineage: Eukaryota; Viridiplantae; Streptophyta; Magnoliopsida; Fabales; Fabaceae
Description: long non-coding RNA (LANG_LNC000356)
Source: RNAcentral